AAAUUGAAGAGUUUGAUCAUGGCUCAGAUUGAACGCUGGCGGCAGGCCUAACACAUGCAAGUCGAACGGUAGCACAGAGAGCUUGCUCUCGGGUGACGAGUGGCGGACGGGUGAGUAAUGUCUGGGAAACUGCCUGAUGGAGGGGGAUAACUACUGGAAACGGUGGCUAAUACCGCAUAACGUCGCAAGACCAAAGAGGGGGACCUUCGGGCCUCUUGCCAUCAGAUGUGCCCAGAUGGGAUUAGCUAGUUGGUGAGGUAACGGCUCACCAAGGCGACGAUCCCUAGCUGGUCUGAGAGGAUGACCAGCCACACUGGAACUGAGACACGGUCCAGACUCCUACGGGA
This 347-nucleotide ribosomal RNA is filed under the name Salmonella enterica. RNAcentral's name for it is "bacterial SSU rRNA". It matches the Rfam family "Bacterial small subunit ribosomal RNA", at positions 1 to 346 of the family's 1533-position model. The record is from RNAcentral. Lineage: Bacteria; Pseudomonadati; Pseudomonadota; Gammaproteobacteria; Enterobacterales; Enterobacteriaceae.